This 548-nucleotide ribosomal RNA is filed under the name uncultured Glomeromycotina. Its description in RNAcentral is "SSU rRNA". It matches the Rfam family "Eukaryotic small subunit ribosomal RNA", at positions 548 to 1097 of the family's 1831-position model. Lineage: Eukaryota; Fungi; Glomeromycota. The record is from RNAcentral.
UUGGAGGGCAAGUCUGGUGCCAGCAGCCGCGGUAAUUCCAGCUCCAAUAGCGUAUAUUAAAGUUGUUGCAGUUAAAAGGCUCGUAGUUGAAUUUCGGGGUCAGUAGGCUGGUCGUGCCACAGGUAUGUACUGGUCUCACUGAUUCCUCCUUCCUGAUGAACCGUAAUGCCAUUAAUUUGGUGUUGCGGGGAAUCUGGACUGUUACUUUGAAAAAAUUAGAGUGUUUAAAGCAGGCUAACGCUUGAAUACAUUAGCAUGGAAUAAUGAAAUAGGACGAUCGAUCCUAUUUUGUUGGUUUCUAGGGUUGACGUAAUGAUUAAUAGGGAUAGUUGGGGGCAUUAGUAUUCAAUUGUCAGAGGUGAAAUUCUUGGAUUUAUUGAAGACUAACUACUGCGAAAGCAUUUGCCAAGGAUGUUUUCAUUAAUCAAGAACGAAAGUUAGGGGAUCGAAGACGAUCAGAUACCGUCGUAGUCUUAACCAUAAACUAUGCCGACUAGGGAUCGGAUGAUGUUAAUUUUUUAAUGACUCAUUCGGCGCCUUACGGGAAA